Molecule: ribosomal RNA, 455 nt
Filed under: uncultured bacterium
Lineage: Bacteria
Description: bacterial SSU rRNA
Rfam family: Bacterial small subunit ribosomal RNA
Source: RNAcentral
GGUGAACGCUGGCGGCGUGCCUAACACAUGCAAGUCGAGCGGUACAGUUUGAAGCUUCGGUGGAGAGCUGUAUAGCGGCGGACGGGUGAGUAAAGCGUAGGAACGUGCCCCUCGGAGUUGGAUAGCCAUGGGAAACUGUGGGUAAACCGACAUAGACUCGGGAGAGUAAAGGCCGAAAGGCGCCGAGGGAGCGGUCUGCGGCCCAUCAGGUAGUUGGUGAGGUAACGGCUCACCAAGCCUAAGACGGGUAACCGGUCUGAGAGGAUGUCCGGUCACACUGGGACUGAGACACGGCCCAGACUCCUACGGGAGGCAGCAGCAGGGAAUCUUGGGCAAUGGGCGAAAGCCUGACCCAGCGACGCCGCGUGGAGGAAGAAGUCCUUCGGGGCGUAAACUCCUGGACUGGGGGACGAGUAAGGACGGUACCCCAGUAGAAAGGGACGGCUAACUACGUG